This 406-nucleotide ribosomal RNA is filed under the name uncultured bacterium. RNAcentral describes it as "partial 16S ribosomal RNA". It matches the Rfam family "Bacterial small subunit ribosomal RNA", at positions 29 to 526 of the family's 1533-position model. The record is from RNAcentral.
AUUGAACGCUGGCGGCAGGCCUAACACAUGCAAGUCGAACGAGUGGCGGACGGGUGAGUAAUGUCUGGGAAACUGCCUGAUGGAGGGGGGUAACGACUGGAAACUGUAGCUAAUACCGCAUACUAUCGGAUGUGCCCAGAUGGGAUUAUCUAGUUGGUGGGGUAAAGGCUCACCUGGGCGACGAUCCCUAGCUGGUCUGAGAGGAUGACCAGCCACACUGGAACGGAGACACGGUCCAGACUCCUACGGGAGGAAGAAGUGGGGAAUAUUGCAAAAUGGGCGAAAGCCGGAUGCAGCAAUGCCGCGUGGAUGAAGAAGGCCUUCGGGUGGUAAAGUACGUUCAGCGGGGAGGCGGUACCCGAAGAAGAAGCACCGGCUAACUCCGUGCCAGCAGCCGCGGUAAUAC